CAGUCAUAUUUAUCAUUCUUCUCUCUGUUUUCUCUCUCUAAAAUACCUAGGGUUUCAUAUCUUAGAUUCAUCUUGAAUCUGAGAUUUCCGUUUUUGAGAUUCGGUGUUCGGGAUUAUCGUGUUGAUAAUCCUAGUGUGUGAGAGUUGAGAGUUUUGUGAGUGAUUUUGUUCUGUUCUUUCUCAGUAUUUGUAGUAAUCAUCAAACUUCCAGGGUAACAAAGAUCUUUGGGUUGGGUUUCUUAUGUUAAUUACAUGUUAAUUUACUUGGUUGAUACCAAUUUUGACAACCUUUUUCAUGGUGUAUUCAUAGCAAAUUAAUCUUGUAUUCUUGUGUAUCUCUCAGUCUUAACCAUCUUUCACUCCCCUGUUUUAAAGAGAUAUUAGAGACUGUUCUUUACACAUCUAUGAACUUGCAAUUGCUUGAUUUCAUUUUUUUUUUAAUUAUUACUUGAUCCACGAAUAUGGAUACUUUCUUACAGCAGUUUCAACAUCUUAAAAUACAACUAGAAGAUAUAAUAGCAGCCACCGACAACUUCAACGAUGAUAACUGUAUUGGACGUGGUGGUUUUGGGAAUGUUUAUAAAGGAGAACUGUCUCACUCUAAGGGGCGAAGCAUGGUUGCUAUCAAGCGUCUGGAUCGGAGGCAUGGACAAGGAAUACCCGAGUUCUUGAAAGAGAUCACAACGCUUUCCAGUUACAGCCAAGAAAAUCUCAUCUCUCUUCUGGGAUUUUGUUACCAAGGGGAUGAGAUGAUCCUGGUAUAUGACUAUGCAUCUCGUGGAAGCCUUGACCGCUAUUUAAAUUCCCCUCAUCUUACGUGGUUACAGCGUCUCAAGAUAUGCCUCGAUGCAGCAGAGGGAUUAAGGUACCUUCAUGAUCCAAGGGGGGCACACCAAAGACUUAUCCACUGUGACGUAAAAAGCGCCAACAUCCUACUUGAUGACAACUGGAAUGGCAAAGUCUCUGACUUUGGAUUUAUCAAUAAUGGGUCCCGCAAACGAGCAGCAAUCGGUUAUUGUCACCAUGGCAGCAGGUACCCUUGGGUACUGUGAUCCGCAGUAUGCGAUGACGCACACCCUAACAAAAGAGUCAGACGUAUACUCUUUCGGUGUGGUCUUAUUCGAAGUUUUAUGUGGGAGGUUAUGUUGUACAUAUAGCAAUGGUCGUGUUCAGCAGAAUUUAGUGCGCACGUGGAUUGAAUGCUAUAAAGAGAAGAAGUUAAAUGAUAUCAUCUUUGAAGAUACAACCAUUCAACCACUGGAGCAGAGUGCUUUAAAUUUUUUUUCUGAUAUUGCAUAUCGAUGUUUGAAUGAAUCUCGUAAAGAUCGGCCAAGGAUGGAUGAGGUUGUGACAGAACUUGCGACUGCACUCCGAUAUCAGAAGCAAUUUCAAGAUCUUAAAAUCCCGCUGGAAGAGAUAACAUUAGCCACCAACCACUUCAAUGUUGAGAAGAACUAUAUUGGAGAUGGUGCUUUUGGGAAGGUUUAUAGAGGAGAAGUGUCUCACUCUAAGGGCCGAAGCAUGACUGCUAUUAAGCGUAUAGAUCCGAAGUUCUUGAAAAAGAUCAGGAUUCUUUCUUGUUACAGGCAUGAAAAUAUUGUCUCUCUUCUGGGAUUUUGUUACCAAGGGGAUGAGAUGAUCCUUGUGUACGAGCAUGUGUCUCGUGGAAGCCUUGACCGCUAUUUGGACUCCCCUCAUCUCACGUGGUCACAACGUCUAAAGAUAUGUUUGGAUGCCGCAAAGGGGCUAAGGUACCUUCAUGAUCAAAGGGGGAGACACCAAAAACUUAUCCACUAUGUUGUAAAAAGCGCCAGCAUCCUACUUGAUGACCAAUGGAAUGCUAAAGUUUCUGACGUUGGAUUAUCAAGAAUGGGCCCCGCUAAUGAGCAGAACUCUGUUAUUGUCACAGUUGCAGAAAGUAACCCCGGGUACUGUGAUCCACAGUAUGCGAUGACACACACCCUAACGAAAAAGUCGGAUGUAUACUCUUUUGGUGUGGUCUUAUUCGAAGUUUUAUGUGGGAGAUUAUGCUAUACGCUUGAUAGCAAAGAUCAUGUUAAGGAGAUCUUAGUGACCACGUGGAUUAAGAGCUAUGAACAGAACAAGUUAAAUGAUAUCAUCUUCAAAGAUCCGACCAUUCAACCAUUGGAGCAGAGUACUUUAGAUAUAUUUUCAGACAUUGCGUAUCAAUGUUUGAAGGAAUCUCAUGAAGAUCGGCCAAAGAUGGCUGAGGUUGUGGCAGAACUUGAGAGAAGUCUAGAUUUACUCAAUUAUCAAGAGUUUAUAGGUGAAUGGAACAAACAAUGUCCUCUGAACUACAGAUCUGACAUUGAACCGAUGAAGUUUCAGUCCAAAGGGAUCCUCCGUAACAGCGGCAAAACGUGGUUUUCAUUGAAUAAGAAGGGAGAACACUGUGAGAUGAUAUCUAUUGCAGAAUGUUUGGGUUCAGAUGUCGUGUUUGCAGAAUGGCACAGAUUCUCAUCUGAAUAUAAUUCAAGAUUUGCUGUGGGCACCUACCACUGGUUUGGAGGCGUAUUGAGAACACAUGCAAAAACUCAGUUCUUGUCACCAGGAAUCACAUACGCGGUGAACCUUGUGUUCAAAUAUUAUAGAGAAGGGAAGAGAAGAUGUGAACCUAUAUUCCUUAAAUACAGAUUACAAGGGGAGAGAGAGAGUUCAAUUUCAUACAUUGCAUAUGAGAGAGAAGAUGGAUGGUGGGCAUGUGAAUUGUAUCAGUUUACUACUGACCACAUAACAGUUGAUCUUCAGAUUUUGUUUGAGGGCUUCGAUAAUAGUGCUUACUUCAAAGUAGAAGUAGAAGGCAUUGAAUUCCAGCCCUUGGAGAAUGAGGAACAUAUAGAUGACAAGCAACCCAUCUCAGAUUUAGAUUCAGAUUCAGAUGCAAAUUGGGAAGAAAAACUGCCAGCUGAUUAUGAAGACAUAAUGAAGUUGUCAAAAAAAGGGAUUUUUGAUUAUUUUCCAUGGACAGCGAAGAAGAAAAAGAAGAAGAAGAGAAAAGCGUACGCAAUUCUUUGCGAAGGGUUCUUAACCAAUGAUGGCAGGAAGUUGUUGGUGGAGCCUAUGAAUAUGGUUCCACAUGAGGGGAGAAUUAUAUAUUGAAUUGCUAAACAUAUCUAUAUACUCGUUGCUUGAUAUAUAGUGGUUUUCUCUUGACAAAAAUGGGAAGAAAUGUCACAUGCUAUCAGCGGCUCUCAUAUGGAGUUGGAAAAAAAAAGUGUUACUACCUGAAUCAAGAUUUAGACAAGCCAUUCAGUGGGUGGAUAAUUGGUGUAUUAAUAUCAAAACAGAAGUCCGGUCCCAACUAGUAUCAUCUGAAACAACAUAUGCAUGUUACCUUGUCUACAAAUUACCAGAAGACGAAUAUGGAUUUGAGGGUCCUGUGAAAGUCGAAGAUAAAGUAUGUGACACCGGAUAUACUAUUUGGUAUAUCUAUUUAACUACUCCUCAAACCCCAAUUAUUAGACCAAAGGUUGGUCAAAACACCCACAAACCACUCAAUUUGCCGAAAUAUAACGGCCUUCCACGCCAAAGGAAGGAUGGAUGGAUUGAAGUGAAAAUUUGGGAAUUCCAAGCUGCCACUACAGUCAUCAUGGAUUUGACUUUGAACUUUUGUGACCAUAAGGCAUUUAGUGGGCUUAUUAUAGAAGGCAUUGAGUUUAGACCCAUAUAGAUUUUUUUUUUGGUUAUAAUGGACAAAAAUUAAGUGUAAACACAAAAUUUGUUUUCUUUUUUCUAUACUAGUAGUGAAACCCGUAUACAAACACAGGUUGUUUUUAGAAAA
RNA transcript from Helianthus annuus (common sunflower), 3802 nucleotides. RefSeq lists it as uncharacterized. The record is from RefSeq and is a predicted model, not a curated record. Lineage: Eukaryota; Viridiplantae; Streptophyta; Magnoliopsida; Asterales; Asteraceae. The transcript has 7 exons.